RNAcentral lists this unclassified non-coding RNA (789 nucleotides) under Hevea brasiliensis (rubber tree). Lineage: Eukaryota; Viridiplantae; Streptophyta; Magnoliopsida; Malpighiales; Euphorbiaceae. The record is from RNAcentral.
GGCUGCACAGGCAAAGGCUUUCCGCUCACAUGACGAGGAUGAUGAUGAUGAUGACUCUGAUGACGAUUUUAGUGAUGAUGAUGAAGAGAUGCAGUCACCCCUUGAUGAGGUGGACCCUUUCAUUUUCUUUGUGGAAACAAUUAAAGCUAUGCAAGCAUCUGAUCCAGUGAAGUUCCAGAGCCUGACCCAGACUUUGGACUUCCGUUAUCAAGCAUUGGCAAAUGGUGUUGCUGUGCAUGCUGAGGAGAGAAGAGCAGAGAUAGAGAAAGAAAAAUUGGAGAAGGCGUCAGCAGUAGUUGCUUCAUGAUUUUGGUCAACCGGUUUGCUUUUGGCCAAAACUCAAUGAGUGAUCAUCCCAUUAUGAGCCUUGGUUACCGAGGGCAGAAGAUGAACUUGCAGCUAGGCCUGCUUUUUCUUUUGCUGUGUGGUCUUGAUGAGUCGCCGUGAAGUGGGCUAUUCUAUGUCAGAAGAUGCCCUUCUUUGCUGGAUGUCAUUGUCUUUUUUCCCGAGUGUCUUGGUAGUAGUUCAUUUUUAUACAGAUGAAAACGUUAGGAUUAUUCAUUGGUGGCCUUUCUAUUUGGUAUAGGAGGGUUUGGGGGUUGAGGGAUGGUCGUAAAUGCACACAGCAUUUAUCAUGUAUUAUAUUUGUUUGGGUACCAGAUGAUGCAUAUACUGUCUGAAUUGGGUGAAUUACUACCCUAAAAGUUUUGUAAGCCCCGGUUGUAGUUUAUGUUCAGUAUUUAUACAUCAUUGGUUUAUUUUUGGGUCUAAAGGUGCUUCACAUUGCAA